UCUGGCCCUGCGCGCCCUGUCCAGGCCGUUCUCCGCUGGGCGGCUGGAAGUCGGCCGGUCCCUGGUUUGUCAGUCCUUUCACUUAGUCACAGUGAUGUCUCUGUGCUGGGAACAGCGGUUUGCGGGACAGAUGAUCCCUGCCCCUCCAGGAGGUCACAGGCGGAGUCCCAGUUUAUUCUACGGAGACCUUGUGUGUCCGCAGUCUCCAGGGCCACAGUCUUGCGCGCGUGGCUGUGUGUGUGCGUGCGUGUGAGUGAUGGGGAGCGGUGGUCUUUGCUGCAUGCGGGCAGCGCUUGCCGCAGCGCGUCGCCAUCCAGGGGCCUUCCCGCACCCAGCUCUUGGGGUGGGCGAGAUUGCCCGGAGGUGCCCAGGGGAGAGGCCGGGAGCACACGGAGCCCAGAGGCAGACCCCAAAGCUUCAGCUUCAGUCCAGCGGGCCACCUCUCUGCAGCGCUGAAAAUGUCAGCUCCUCGGGGAAGCCCACCCCAUCAGGUCCUCUGGGGGUGCCAUCCCUUAGAACCCUGGGGGGGAAGUCUCUCUCUGCCACUGUUGAUCGGCUCAGGGCGCACCUCGUAGGUGCCAGGUAUAUGAGAGAUGUGGACUAAAUACUGGCUGAAUGAAUGAAUGAAUGAACUUAGCCCUGACAGGGCAGGAAUAGGGCAGGGCCAGGGCUGAGCCUGUAGGCCCUGCUGUCCCUGAGCAGAAGGGCUGCCCAACUCCCACUCUGAGGAGACUCUGGUCACGGGGCUGCGCUGGGAGCGGAGCUCUGUCGGGCGCUCGAGGCGGCAUGCUGGUUGGGCCAAGUCUCAGAUCUCUCCAGAGAGGUCCUGCCCUUGGUCUCUGGCAGGUGUGAUCUGGUUAAGGGGGGCCCUGCACAUGCUGGCCUGGACAUUGGCCCGCAUGCCUGUGGGACCAGGCGUGCUCAGGCAGGAGGUCCUGUGGCCCAGCUGGGCAGAUGCUCUGUAAAACGCGGGUCCCAGGCCCCUCCGUCCCUGCUCUCACCCCAGCAGGCUUCCUGUGCCCAGGGCUCUGUUAACCACGGAUGCCCUCCGCGCCGGUCUCCAGCUCGGGUGCUCCCCUGAGCCCCAGAAGGCAAGCCCGCGCAGCCUGUUCCCUAUGUUCAAAUCCAGGUUCUUGCCUUUCGCCUGCCCCUGAUCGCCUGCCAGUGAAAUGGACCUUCCUCCACUGUGCUGGGGUCCUCACCCCUCCCACCCACCCCUGCUAGUCUCAGUGAGCUGCCUGGGGCGGUGGAUCCAUACAGUCAUGUGACCUGCCCAGUGGUACGUGAAGAGAAGUGACCCAAGUGACUCCAAGCAGAAGAUUCAGGAGCCAGCGCCUGCUUGACGGUUCUCUGGUAGUGGAAGUGGGUGACACGGGGAAGCCCGCACCCCGGCAGACACACCCGGCGUCGAUGAUGGGCUCCAUGCAGUGGGGCAACUUCUGGGCCACAUGACUUCUGGCACAUGACUCAGUAGCAGGCAGAGGGCCUCCGAAGACCACCUUGCCCUAAUCUCUGGAACCUGUGAAUAUGUUACAUUGUGUGGCAAAAGGGACUUCUCAGAUGUAAUUAGGGUUACAGACUUUACAGUAGGAACUUUACACAUCGUGGAUUAUCUGGGUGGGGCCGACGUAAUCACAUGAGCCCUUAAAAGCAGAGAAUUUUCUCCAGCUCAAGUCACAGAUGAGAUGGAAGGGGCAGUCAGAAAGCCUCAAAGCAGAAGGACUCAGAAAUGCUGUUGAGUGGCUUUGAAGAUGAAGGGGCCUCAGUCAUCCGGAGCUGAAUUCUGCCAACAGUGAAUUCUGCCAGCAUCCUGAAUGACCUCAGAAGUGGGCUCCUCCCUAGUCGGUCCUGAGAUGCCUUGACUUGCCUGAAGCAGAACGCCAGUCACUUUGCAUUCAACAGAUGACUUGCAGAAACUGUGAGAUAAUAAAUGUGUGUUGUUUCAAGCUG
Molecule: non-coding RNA, 1950 nt
Organism: Odocoileus virginianus texanus
Lineage: Eukaryota; Metazoa; Chordata; Mammalia; Artiodactyla; Cervidae
Source: RefSeq, a predicted model, not a curated record